This 860-nucleotide ribosomal RNA is filed under the name Pseudomonas sp. Its description in RNAcentral is "bacterial SSU rRNA". It matches the Rfam family "Bacterial small subunit ribosomal RNA", at positions 57 to 917 of the family's 1533-position model. Lineage: Bacteria; Pseudomonadati; Pseudomonadota; Gammaproteobacteria; Pseudomonadales; Pseudomonadaceae. The record is from RNAcentral.
GCAGUCGAGCGGCAGCACGGGUACUUGUACCUGGUGGCGAGCGGCGNNCGGGUGAGUAAUGCCUAGGAAUCUGCCUGGUAGUGGGGGAUAACGUUCGGAAACGAACGCUAAUACCGCAUACGUCCUACGGGAGACAGCAGGGGACCUUCGGGCCUUGCGCUAUCAGAUGAGCCUAGGUCGGAUUAGCUAGUUGGUGAGGUAAUGACUCACCAAGGCGACGAUCCGUAACUGGACUGAGAGGAUGAUCAGUCACACUGGAACUGAGACACGGUCCAGACUCCUACGGGAGGCAGCAGUGGGGAAUAUUGGACAAUGGGCGAAAGCCUGAUCCAGCCAUGCCGCGUGUGUGAAGAAGGUCUUCGGAUUGUAAAGCACUUUAAGUUGGGAGGAAGGGCAGUUACCUAAUACGUGAUUGUUUUGACGUUACCGACAGAAUAAGCACCGGCUAACUCUGUGCCAGCAGCCGCGAUAAUACAGAGGGUGCAAGCGUUCAUCGGAAUUACUGGGCGUAAAGCGCGCGUAGGUGGUUCGUUAAGUUGGAUGUGAAAUCCCCGGGCUCAACCUGGGAACUGCAUUCAGAACUGUCGAGCUAGAGUAUGGUAGAGGGUGGUGGAAUUUCCUGUGUAGCGGUGAAAUGCGUAGAUAUAGGAAGGAACACCAGUGGCGAAGGCGACCACCUGGACUGAUACUGACACUGAGGUGCGAAGCGUGGGGAGCAAACAGGAUUAGAUACCCUGGUAGUCCACGCCGUAAACGAUGUCAACUAGCCAUUGGGAGCCUUGAGCUCUUAUGGCGCAGCUCACGCAUNAGUUGACCGCNGGGGAGUACNGCCGCAAGGUUAANCUCAAUGAAUUGACGGG